RNAcentral lists this ribosomal RNA (341 nucleotides) under Austrominius modestus. RNAcentral describes it as "partial 12S ribosomal RNA". Lineage: Eukaryota; Metazoa; Arthropoda; Thecostraca; Balanomorpha; Elminiidae. The record is from RNAcentral.
UGUUACUUAUAAGUAAAUAUUUUUGGAAUAGUAAAAGUAAUGAAAUUUAACGGAUUUGGCGGCAAGAUAGCCAUUUAGAGGAACCUGCCCUAUAAACGAUGAGCCACGAAUAACCUUACUCUUUUUAGUUACUCAGUUUGUAUACCGCUGUUGUCAGUUAGUUUCUUUAGAAAACUUUCGUUUAUGAUAUAUUCAAUGACUUCAAGUAAAGGUGCAGCUUAUAGAAGAGACAGAGGUGGGUUACAAUUAACAGAAUAAAACGGAUAAAGUUUUUGAAACAACUUUUGAAGGUGGAUUUAAAAGUAAGAUUUUAUGAAGUCUGAUGAGAGCUCUAUCUUGUG